Molecule: long non-coding RNA, 422 nt
Filed under: Carica papaya (papaya)
Lineage: Eukaryota; Viridiplantae; Streptophyta; Magnoliopsida; Brassicales; Caricaceae
Description: long non-coding RNA (CPAP_LNC011072)
Source: RNAcentral
GGCAAAGUACUUCACUUAAUGGGUGUGAGAAAAAACUUUUGUUUUCAUUCUGCACAUUAUCCAUGUUUAAUUUUUGAAUUGUAUUUCUAUAAACUUGAUCAACAUUGCAUAAAGAAACUUGAUCAAUCGUAGAGUGUAGCCAAUAAAUCAGGGGUAUUAUACAUAGGUACACCUUUCAGUUAUAUCCAUCGGGAUUGAUUGGAUCCCUACACAUAAGUCUAUCCUGUCAUACAUAGGCGAGCCGUCCGCGCAUCACCCGCCUGUGAACAGGCGCCGCACACUGUGCGGAUGUCGUUUGCUCACUAGGCCUGUGCAAAUAGGCCCUGUGCACCUUGGGCCUACAUGCAGUAGGCCUGCGCGCAUAGGCGGGAGGAGACUUAUGCGCUGAGGCUAGCCUGCAGCGCACCAGCCGGAGCAUUGCC